UAAAUUUACGUCACCAGCCCUUAUUGGACACAUUGGCUGCCAGUUUAGCCGCGGGGGGGGGGCGAGAAAACUCAGGCGCUCCAUUUUUAUUGGCCGGAAGUCUGUCAAUCACCUGGAGUGGGGGCGAGAACUCCGCCUGCGCCCCUUUGUGACUAGAUGAUCGGCCUGUCGAUCAGAGGAAAACGGAAGAGGCGGGACACGGCCCCCGGAAGCACCUUUUGAGUGGAGGAAUGAAUUGCCUGUCAAUAAAAAGAAGGGGAAAGUUCGAAUGUUGGUGGCGGUGGAACAGGCGCAGGGGAGGAGGGGCUAAAACCCCCAGCCUCGACCCGCCCUCACGGCCGAGGGGGGAGCGCUUUGCUGCCAGCCACCCGCGAAAGCGCUUCUCCCAGCAUGCAGCGCGCCCGGCGGGCCGUGGUGACUCCCGGCGUGCCCCGCGCUGACCCCGCCCCCGGGCAGCCCGCGGCUUGCCCCGAAGAAGCCGCCGGGGCCGGGGCCGGGGGCCGGGGCCGAGGCGUGGGCAGCCCCCGGCGGCCGGAAGCGGGGGACUAAGGCCUCCGCACCCCCCGGGCAGAGCCGCUGCUGGCGCUGCCCGCUCCGGCCGGUCCCUCCAGCGGGGCAGCGCCUCCCUUAGCGUGAAUCCGGCCCCCGCCGCCUCCCCGUUUCUCCCUUUGAGGGCCCUGUUGGGAGGAAAAGAUUCCGUCCGUUUGUCCAAGCGGCCAGAGGCGGCGGCGGCGGGUUAAUUACCAGGCCCGCUUUUCUCUGCUUGCCCGGUUUCUGCUGUAUUCCCCUUUCUCUUGCAUUGCUGACUCAGAGAUGGACUUGGGUCCAAGAUACUCACUUCUCCAUUGAACUGUGAAUGCUUCGAGGGACAGCGGAAUGUGGGGCAUGCCACGAUCUGAUGCUGGACUAAUCUUACAAGUCUACAAUUUGGAAUGUUAUAGACUACGGCGUGCCAGUCUUCACAAAAGGGGAGGCAUUGUGCUGGAGCUGAACACGAAAGUAGCUAGGCCCCACAUAAAUUUCUACCGCUUAGGAAACUAGCUAGUCCACAAGCAGAUGUCACGUGGGGCUGGUAACUGUCUAAGCUUUGGGGAAAGCUGCGGGGAUACUGUGCCUGGAACAGGGUGGGAGGGGGGAGGUUUCUGGCUACUGGGAAAUCUAAGUUCACCUACUGGUUGGAACUACCUGACUUUCCUGACCUGCCCUUCUGACACCCCAGCCCUAUCCACUCCUGGUUCCCAACUCCUCCCUCCAGCUGGGAAUCAACAGAGGAGAGGCAGGUUGCUCAACAGGGAGGGUCCCCUCAGCUUGGGAUGUUCUGGAAGCUCACUUCGUUUGGGGAAGGAGAGGUACUGCAGGACACUGAGGAUGAGUAUACUAAGGAUUAAUGUAGGGAGGGGCACUGUAGGGGAAGGGAUGGAGGUCAGGAGUCCUUUGAGGGAGAGAGGCUAGAAAGUCACUUGGGUGUCAGGGAAAGGGGUAAGGGAAGAUCUCCCUCCAGUAACAAACACCUUCACACUGACCCCCCUACCUCAGCUACAAAGCCCCCCUGCAGUGCCAGGGACAAGUGCCUGCACCUUGAAGCCUACCACCAUUUGCCAAACUCUCUCAAAUUUCCACAUCAGUAUUAGCCCUGCACCUAAAGCCAGCGCCCAAGCUGUCACAGCCUUACCUUGACUCCCCCCCACUCUGUUGACAAUACUAAGGGAGCUUCCCUUCAGGAUUCUAGGCUGGUCCCCCCUACAUGAAAUAAAAAUGGCUUUCUAAUCUUG
Dermochelys coriacea (leatherback sea turtle) is the source of this 1772-nucleotide long non-coding RNA. RefSeq lists it as uncharacterized. Lineage: Eukaryota; Metazoa; Chordata; Testudines; Dermochelyidae. The transcript is spliced from 2 exons. The record is from RefSeq and is a predicted model, not a curated record.